GGCGGACGGGUGAGUAACACGUGGAUAACCUACCUAUAAGACUGGGAUAACUUCGGGAAACCGGAGCUAAUACCGGAUAAUAUUUUGAACCGCAUGGUUCAAAAGUGAAAGACGGUCUUGCUGUCACUUAUAGAUGGAUCCGCGCUGCAUUAGCUAGUUGGUAAGGUAACGGCUUACCAAGGCAACGAUGCAUAGCCGACCUGAGAGGGUGAUCGGCCACACUGGAACUGAGACACGGUCCAGACUCCUACGGGAGGCAGCAGUAGGGAAUCUUCCGCAAUGGGCGAAAGCCUGACGGAGCAACGCCGCGUGAGUGAUGAAGGUCUUCGGAUCGUAAAACUCUGUUAUUAGGGAAGAACAUAUGUGUAAGUAACUGUGCACAUCUUGACGGUACCUAAUCAGAAAGCCACGGCUAACUACGUGCCAGCAGCCGCGGUAAUACGUAGGUGGCAAGCGUUAUCCGGAAUUAUUGGGCGUAAAGCGCGCGUAGGCGGUUUUUUAAGUCUGAUGUGAAAGCCCACGGCUCAACCGUGGAGGGUCAUUGGAAACUGGAAAACUUGAGUGCAGAAGAGGAAAGUGGAAUUCCAUGUGUAGCGGUGAAAUGCGCAGAGAUAUGGAGGAACACCAGUGGCGAAGGCGACUUUCUGGUCUGUAACUGACGCUGAUGUGC
This 670-nucleotide ribosomal RNA is filed under the name uncultured Staphylococcus sp. RNAcentral describes it as "bacterial SSU rRNA". It matches the Rfam family "Bacterial small subunit ribosomal RNA", at positions 97 to 754 of the family's 1533-position model. Lineage: Bacteria; Bacillati; Bacillota; Bacilli; Caryophanales; Staphylococcaceae. The record is from RNAcentral.